This 209-nucleotide unclassified non-coding RNA is filed under the name soil metagenome. RNAcentral describes it as "partial contains 5.8S ribosomal RNA, internal transcribed spacer 2, and large subunit ribosomal RNA". The record is from RNAcentral.
AACCUAGCACACCUGCGGUGUGUACCUGCGGAAGGAUCAUUACCGAGUUUACAACUCCCAAACCCCUGUGAACAUACCUAUACGUUGCCUCGGCGGAUCAGCCCGCGCCCUGUAAAACGGGACGGCCCGCCCGAGGACCCUAAACUCUGUUUUUAGUGGAACUUCUGAGUAAAACAAACAAAUAAAUCAAAACUUUCAGCAAUGGAUCU